CCUACGUGAGGCAGCAGUGGGGCAUAUUGCGCAAUGGGCGAAAGCCUGACGCAGCGACGCCGCGUGAGGGAUGAAGGUCUUCGGAUCGUAAACCUCUGUCAGCAGGGAAGAACGGUCACUGUGCUAAUCAGCAGUGAAUUGACGGUACCUGCAAAGGAAGCACCGGCUAACUCCGUGCCAGCAGCCGCGGUAAUACGGAGGGUGCGAGCGUUAAUCGGAAUUACUGGGCGUAAAGCGCUCGUAGGCGGUAUGUCAAGUCAAGGGUGAAAUCCCCGCGCUCAACGUGGGAACUGCCUUUGAAACUGGCAAACUGGAGUGUGUGAGAGGAUAGUGGAAUUCCAGGUGUAGGAGUGAAAUCCGGAGAUAUCUGGAGGAACAUCAGUGGCGAAGGCGACUAUCUGGCACAUAACUGACGCUGAGGAGCGAAAGCGUGGGUAGCAAACAGGAUUAGAUACCCCAGUAGUC
Molecule: ribosomal RNA, 465 nt
Filed under: uncultured bacterium
Lineage: Bacteria
Description: partial 16S ribosomal RNA
Rfam family: Bacterial small subunit ribosomal RNA
Source: RNAcentral